AAUAUUUGAAAUUUCUUACAGUUUAUCAUUGUGAGUUAAUAACUAUAUUUAUAAGUUUUUAAAUAAAAUUUCAGGUUAGGGUGCUUUGCGAAAAAGCUAAGGAGGUUUUAAUGGAAGAAAGCAAUGUUCAGGCCAACUGUUCAAUCUGUUCAAAGCUCACAAAGAUCCUAGACAAAAUCCAAUUGCUUAUUCUUGCAAUAGAUUGAGAAAGACAAGCUACUUCUUCAGUAUUGUGGUAGUAAUUACUGUACUGUUUUGUCUCGUUCUCAAGCCGAUAAUAAUUUUUUAGUGUAGCUAGUAGAAGUAAACAGAUUGUUGGCUUCGAGGUCGGCUAGUUAUUUUGUGGUCUUUUGUUUUAUUUGUGAAUAUCACUAUCUACUUUGAAACAGAAUUAGUGUUAA
This is a long non-coding RNA of Zingiber officinale, 401 nucleotides long. RefSeq lists it as uncharacterized. NCBI's taxonomy places the organism in Eukaryota, Viridiplantae, Streptophyta, Magnoliopsida, Zingiberales, Zingiberaceae. The record is from RefSeq and is a predicted model, not a curated record. The transcript has 2 exons.